This 774-nucleotide ribosomal RNA is filed under the name uncultured Neocallimastigales. Its description in RNAcentral is "partial large subunit ribosomal RNA". It matches the Rfam family "Eukaryotic large subunit ribosomal RNA", at positions 18 to 642 of the family's 3401-position model. The record is from RNAcentral. Lineage: Eukaryota; Fungi; Neocallimastigomycota; Neocallimastigomycetes; Neocallimastigales.
UCAGACGAUGCGUCAUGCAUAUCAAUAAGCGGAGGAAAAGAAACUAACAAGGAUUCCCCUAGUAACGGCGAGUGAAGCGGGAAGAGCUCAAAUUUGAAAUCUUAAAGGGUUUCCCUUUACGAAUUGUAGUUUAAAGAAGUGUUUUCUGUUGAGGUUUUGGUAAAAGUUCUUUGGAAUAGGACAUCAUAGAGGGUGAGAAUCCCGUAUUUGACCUUUACUUUCAACUUUGUGAUACACUUUCAAAGAGUCGGAUUGUUUGGGAAUGCAGUCCAAAAUGGGUGGUAAAUUUCAUCUAAAGCUAAAUAUUGGCGAGAGACCGAUAGCGAACAAGUACCGUGAGGGAAAGAUGAAAAGAACUUUGAAAAGAGAGUUAAACAGUACGUGAAAUUGUCAAAAGGGAAGCGUUUGACACCAGUGUUGUUUUUCUGAAAAUCAAUUAAAGAACUGUUUAUGCUAAGCUGUUUAGACUUUAUCAGCUAUCUGUUUAGUUUUGAGCUUUUCUUUAAUGCACUUUUCAGGUUAACAAGUCAACAUCAAUUUCUUUUGCUGUAAAAAAGCUUGAGGAAGGUGGCUUGAGAUUCGUCUUAAGUGUUUAUAGCCUCUUGCCUAUGCAGUCGGAGAGAUUGAGGUCUGCAGCGUAGAUCCUUCGGGGCUAAAUGCAUUUGUGCUAAGUUAUAGCAUUUUAUAGACAACUUGUUGACUAUGAUUUGUCUUGUAGCUUACUCGCUUAUGUUAUUUUACCUACGCUUAGGAUGUUGACACACGCGCGUGCUC